UACGUAGGGGGCUAGCGUUGUUCGGAAUUACUGGGCGUAAAGCGCUCGUAGGCGGUUAUUUAAGUCAGGGGUGAAAUCCCGGGACUCAACCCCGGAACUGCCUUUGAUACUGGGUAUCUCGAGUCCGAGAGAGGUGAGUGGAAUUCCGAGUGUAGAGGUGAAAUUCGUAGAUAUUCGGAGGAACACCAGUGGCGAAGGCGGCUCACUGGCUCGGUACUGACGCUGAGGUGCGAAAGCGUGGGGAGCAAACAGG
Molecule: ribosomal RNA, 253 nt
Filed under: uncultured bacterium
Lineage: Bacteria
Description: partial 16S ribosomal RNA
Rfam family: Bacterial small subunit ribosomal RNA
Source: RNAcentral